UCUCUUGCUCGCUCUUUAUCUCUUUUUUUCUCUCUCUCGCACUCUGUCCCCCCACCCCGGACUCAAGUAGGGGGCGGCAAGUGCCCUGAGACCUGACCACGUGUAUCUUUAGGACCAAGGAAGAAGUCUGAGCCCCAGAUGCAUCAUGGGAGACCCAGCCUCCCCAAGGACAUCUUGGUGCAAACAGGAGGAUGAGUGCUGUACCCCAAACCCCGGACUCUUGGAGCUGUUUUUCGGACAAAUGGGAGGAAUCAAUGCCUACCAGUGGUCACAUCGAUCCCCAGGAAGCCACAGCCCGGACCUGCACCGGACCAUCCGCCCCCGUGCAGAGUGGAGGACAAACCGGCUCCUCACGGGAUGCCAUGGACGUUGCGCCGGCCCCGCUAUUCGGGAAUCGCGUGGCCCCAGCCUGCUGCCACCGGGCCACUCCUCCCCUACCCCCCUUCGCCUCCUCCCCCACCUUCCCCCUCAGCCCCUAACUGUAUCCCCUCCUUCCAGACAAUGCCAUUUCCUUUGGCGGUCAAGGGUCAAACAUUGCAUCAUGGCUCCCACAUGAAUCUCUGGCAAUUCCUAGAGGUGAUGGAUGUGCGUGUGUCUCUGGUGUGAGAACGAGGGCUGGGACCAGAGCAGGGUGAGAGGGGCCACCCCUUUUUGAAGGGGGAGACGGGUUCUGGAAACAGGGGUCUAGAGUUCUGGACAGGUAUUCCGAGGACGGACUUCAAGACCAGGUGUGAAGUCGCCUGGGGCCCUUAAUUCUAUAGUCAGUGCGGCUUCCUCCAGGUCUGGUCCACUGGGAGUUAUCUGCCCAGCUCUGGCUUCGAGAGUACAGACUCGCUUUCCCGGCCGAGGGGGGUGCCCCUGGGGGAGCGGGGUACAGGGACAGUGGUAGUUAAGGGUAUGUGGGUCUAUCUGUGUGUAUGUGUGUGUGACUGCCAUGUGUCAUCCAUCCCUCCUGGAGGAGCCAAAUGGCGGCCGGGGAGAGGGGGGAAUAGGAGCAAAUUCUAGAGUGGGAAGAUGCAAAAUGAUUUUCCCCGCUGCCGCAUGGGAGGAAAUGGUGCAGUCUGGCCCCCUCCGCCCCUCGCCUGCCUGGGCUCUAUAAGGCCAAAUGUACCUGGAAUAAAAUGUCUAGCUUCUGAAUCA
Long non-coding RNA from Ornithorhynchus anatinus (platypus), 1140 nucleotides. RefSeq lists it as uncharacterized. The transcript has 2 exons. The record is from RefSeq and is a predicted model, not a curated record. Lineage: Eukaryota; Metazoa; Chordata; Mammalia; Monotremata; Ornithorhynchidae.